GAUGAACGCUGGCGGCGUGCCUAAUACAUGCAAGUCGAGCGAACAGACGAGGAGCUUGCUCCUCUGACGUUAGCGGCGGACGGGUGAGUAACACGUGGAUAACCUACCUAUAAGACUGGGAUAACUUCGGGAAACCGGAGCUAAUACCGGAUAAUAUAUUGAACCGCAUGGUUCAAUAGUGAAAUACGGUUUUGCUGUCACUUAUAGAUGGAUCCGCGCCGCAUUAGCUAGUUGGUAAGGUAACGGCUUACCAAGGCAACGAUGCGUAGCCGACCUGAGAGGGUGAUCGGCCACACUGGAACUGAGACACGGUCCAGACUCCUACGGGAGGCAGCAGUAGGGAAUCUUCCGCAAUGGGCGAAAGCGUGACGGAGCAACGCCGCGUGAGUGAUGAAGGUCUUCGGAUCGUAAAACUCUGUUAUUAGGGAAGAACAAAUGUGUAAGUAACUAUGCACGUCUUGACGGUACCUAAUCAGAAAGCCACGGCUAACUACGUG
This 497-nucleotide ribosomal RNA is filed under the name uncultured bacterium. RNAcentral's name for it is "partial 16S ribosomal RNA". It matches the Rfam family "Bacterial small subunit ribosomal RNA", at positions 28 to 507 of the family's 1533-position model. The record is from RNAcentral.